GAUGAACGCUGGCGGCGUGCCUAAUACAUGCAAGUCGAGCGAACAGAUAAGGAGCUUGCUCCUUUGACGUUAGCGGCGGACGGGUGAGUAACACGUGGGUAACCUACCUAUAAGACGGGGAUAACUACGGGAAACCGGAGCUAAUACCGGAUAACAUUUGGAACCGCAUGGUUCUAAAGAGAAAGAUGGUUUUGCUAUCACUUAUAGAGGGACCCGCGCCGUAUUAGCUGGUUGGUAAGGUAACGGCUUACCAGGGGGACGAUCCGUAGCCGACCUGAGGGGGUGGUCGGCCACACUGGAGCUUAGCCGCCGUCCUUGCUCCUGCGGGAGGCCGCAGUCGCCAACCUUCCGCAAUGGUCGAAAGCCUUGCGGAGCGACCCCACGUGAGUUGUGGAGGCUUUCGGCUCGUAAUGCCCUGUUAUUAGUUAAGAACCGAUGUGUAAGUAACUGUGCACGUCUUGACGGUACCUAAUCAGAAAGCCCCGGCUAACUACGUG
This 497-nucleotide ribosomal RNA is filed under the name uncultured bacterium. Its description in RNAcentral is "partial 16S ribosomal RNA". It matches the Rfam family "Bacterial small subunit ribosomal RNA", at positions 28 to 507 of the family's 1533-position model. The record is from RNAcentral.